This is a long non-coding RNA of Eufriesea mexicana, 609 nucleotides long. RefSeq lists it as uncharacterized. NCBI's taxonomy places the organism in Eukaryota, Metazoa, Arthropoda, Insecta, Hymenoptera, Apidae. The transcript has 4 exons. The record is from RefSeq and is a predicted model, not a curated record.
GAAAGAAAAAUGGAAGCGACGUGUUGUUAUUAAAUAUCGAUCCGAGCUGUCGGUUGUGUCUCUUAACGAGGCACAUCGUUAGCGGCGUGUUAUUUUUCCAAGAAUCAAUUUUUCCUGAACGUGAUGAAGCGAAAACGCAGUUUCCUUAAUAAAGUGCCAAAUUGCGGAGUUAAUAGCUUGCGUAAUUGAUGGAAACGCGACGAUCUAUAUAAUGAAAUGUUUAUGUACAUAUAUAUACAUUUCAAUUGAAUACGUACCCUCUGACUGGAACUUUCGUAACUAAAGGGACGUAUAUAUACAUCGUUGCUCAUAAUUAUUCGAUCAAUUUCGAAGGCAUAUACAUGGAUGUCACUUAUAUAAUUUACAUUUGAGAUAGGCAAAAUCUCCACCUAAUGAUACUGGAACCAAUGUAUGUCCUUCAAAUGGAAAGCACAACUGGGAUCUUCCAAUGGUGUUACAGCAGUACUCUGACUUCAGCUUUAUAAUAUUUAGGGCAGAAAUUACGGGAAAGACAGCAAAGCUGCCUCGAGUUGUUAUAUCGAAGGACAUUUGAAACCGUGGCCGAGUCUCAAAGAGGAGAAAAGAGAAAAGAAGAUACAACCAUGCGAA